Molecule: non-coding RNA, 4963 nt
Organism: Phalacrocorax carbo (great cormorant)
Lineage: Eukaryota; Metazoa; Chordata; Aves; Suliformes; Phalacrocoracidae
Source: RefSeq, a predicted model, not a curated record
UUUGGCUGGGUGAGAAGCUUGGGAGUGCAGGGAGGGGCAGGCUGAGAUCAACAUGGGCAGGCCCAAGAAGAAAUGCCUGUGAUCCUAAAAAUCCGCUCAGGGAGCGGCGCCAAGAUCUCAUCUGCUGUCAGCAAGUGCCAGGGGAGGAUGAAUCCUGCCCAUGCUGUGCGUGUCCAGCCAGAGGCCUCCAACCCCUCUCCCCAGCUCAGGUGGAAGAUCUCUGUAGGGUGCUCCCAGCCCUGGGACCUUUUGGAAGGGAGGAGAUCCAGGACAGGACAAGCCUUUGCUGACAUCCCCCAUGAAGGGUCUUGAAGGCUUCAGCAACAUGCAGAGGAGCUCCUCCACACCUCUCAUCAUCUUCAUCAAGUUCUCCAAACGAGACAAUCUUCCUCCAAGCUGCCACGCCGCGCUGCCCACCAAGAUGCAGUGGAGAAGCUCCAGCUUGCGCCCAGUGGUCUGACCCAUGGUGAAGAGCCAGGCUCCUUAGCGCCAGUGCCCUGGCUUUUUUUCCCAGGGUCUCCAUAUCUCACCAACUUGGAUCCGCUCAGCUUCCAAAAUAAACCAAACUCAGCUGUAAGACAGAGCUUGUGCCUGGUGCACUUGACCAAGUACUUUGUAUAGACCUGGAGAUUGCUGAAACCACGUGGGCUGUGAGGCAAGAGCAGUGCUGCGAGUGAAAGCAAAGAGUUAAAAAUGAGCAAGCCAAAGGAAGGGGUUAAAAAAAGGCAAACAGGCCAGAGUUUAAAAAAAAAGAAGUAGAAGGCGGCAAAGAGCAGAAAAGGAAACCUCGUGAGUGUCUCUUCCCCUCUUGGCUUCUCCUCGCUCAGAUGGUGAAGAGGAGGGGAGGCUGGAGCCCGCGGGUGUGCUCCCGCAGCCGGGCUUGUCUCCCAGAGGAACCCCUGCGACUCCAGCACCAAGCAAACGUCUUCCCUGGCAAGAGCAGGAGACGGACUCUGAGCUCCCUAAUGCAUCCGCGCGUUUCCUGAACACCCUUAAGAGGCACAGGCACUCCAAAAAAGCUGGUUAUCUCUGGGUCUGAACAUUUCCACGAAAGCCAGGAGCUGCGGCGAGAGGCUAAAAGCACCAUUUCCUCCAGCGAAACACGGCUGGGGCGCUUACGCCACCCGGCAGCCCACGAUUUGGAAACGCAGCUUUUGGGACGAGCUCUUUAAUGCAAGAGCGGGCUCUGCUUCCCCGUGGGUGUCCCAGCCGCCGCCGGAGCGGGAGCCGGGAGCCAAGCGGCUUUGCUCCCUUCCCCCUUCUCAGCUCCAUCAGCAGCUUGUUGAGACGAGCCGGCGCUGGCUGCCGCACACUUGGCAGCGAGGGAGCGGGGAGCCUUGCCCAGGUUUGGCUGGGCGAGCUCCCGGGUCGCGCACGGCAGAUUUGGGAUACAAUACACUAAAUAUGUUGUCCGCUUGUAAUUUGGGGAACAAGGAGGUGCCGCAGCGGUGCAGGCACAGCGGUACAGGGUGCGGGCGCAGCCAACACGUGGCGGGGGGGAUGAAGGAUAACCACGCACGGUCCCAUUACCACACCAGAAAAUAAUUAUAUGGUUACAGGAAGAUGGGAAGGAAAGAGAGGGGGAGCCCAGGGGUCCCUGGAUGAUUUUUAAGGUGAUUGCUCCUCAGAUGAGCUUUUGCCAAUGGGGCUCGGUCGGGGACCUGCAAGAGAAGAGCCCCCUGGCCAGAGCAGGUGCUGCCUUUGUGGGUUUUGCCUUUACGUGGCCCGUCCAGUGCCUGUCAAAUGCUGUUUUUUCAGACUAACAGGGAACACUCGUGUCACAUUCCCAAACAGUUUCCUACUUGUGUUAGAAUAAGAAAGCCAUUUUUUAACGUGUGAGUGGGGCACCUCCAUGGGCCUUAGUCACAUGGAGCCUGAAAAAAGCACACUGACAUCGAUUUUUCAGCUAACAGUGACAAUUCAUGCAGAAAAAAAAGGAUCAUUUUGCCCCAUUUUUUCCCCCCCUAAGAGUUUGUUGCAUCAAGUAGGGGCUGAGGGCCAACAGCUGGAAGCAAGAGAGAGGCAGUGCAGGCAAUCGGGAGAUUUGCAACCUGGCCAAGGGCUCUCCAAACCUCUGCCAGAGCCCGCCUCUCCUCCUUCUGCAGUCCCCUCCGAAAAGCAGGGGGAGAAGAGGAGCAGGCCCGGGGCGUCGGUGGCGCUGUUCGGAGCCCACUGCGAGCACGGGUUUCGUUGCCGAUGUUUACAUCGUUCUUUCCUGUUUCCUUUUUUGUAUUACAAUUGGAAAUCCCGAGCGCGGGCAGGCUGCUGUUGAACACUCCUCGCAGCUGCACCACGAAGCGUAAACAGCCGGCGAGCCCUUUAUUGCACUAUAUAUGGACAAGGAGCCGAACUCUCCUUUUAAUUUUGAAAUGAAACACCCCAAAGGAAGCACACGCUUUCUUUUUAAGACAUGCUUACUCCUUGCAGUUUAUUUCACCUGAGAUGGCUCUGCUCAAAGCGUUCCCUACAAAAGAAAAGCAGAAUUGCAGCACAGAGCGAGCAUCCGAGGCACCGGUUUCUGCCUUCUGAGUGAAAUGUUGCAGGCUGUUUUGUUUAUAAUAUGGAAAAGAGCCCGGAGGGUGUUUGGAAGGAAGCAAAAUUGCAAACGGCUGAAUUGCAUAACCAGGAAUCACAGCCGCGUAUCACCAUCUUCCCUGCAACUUAGAAACGACACAGUAGCGGCCGAGAGCUGCGUAGGUCAGAGCUUCCUCCGCGGAUGCCGAUGUGAUGAAUCCCACCGCCUCUGCGGAGCUUUCCUGGGUCUCCCUGUUCAUGCGAGACGCCGCGAAUAACUCCGUUGCAAAAAGCUUUCCUGACGUCACGUUUUGCUUCGCCGUAUGCGGCUUUGCGGAUAAUCUUUUCAAGCACCUCCCAGUGUCCUGCUCGGCAUCCGGUACGCUUCCGCAUGGGAGAAUCAGCAAAAUUGCAUUAAAAGGGCGUUAGGAUCAGACCACCAGCUUUCGCGUCAGUGACUGGAACAGGCACGUUGCAAUAACCAGGUCGCUGAAAAAAGUAAAACAGCUGGGAUUAUUUCACUUGAAAACAAUAAGUAUGUAAAUUAUUCUUCGUGGACACACACCUGCUCCCCUUCUCCCCAGACCAGCCCCUGACCACACAACGUUUACGGCAGUGGCUCUGGAUCCGAGCAGGGUUCAUAGCUGCUUGUAAAUCUGGGAGGUUUUUCCCCCUCCAGCUGGUCACGAGCGUUGAGCCUGGGAAGGUCACGUAAUCUGCUCCCAAGCAGAGGUUGCACAGAAGCACAUGCUCCAGCCCACCGCCCUCCUGCUCACCACGGCCUGCAAGAACUUCACCUCCUCCCAACAGCCCAAUUCAAGCUUUUCCUUUACGUUGGAAGAAGUUACGCUCUGCAAAACAGAGGUGAGCAAGGCAGGUGCACUGAAUCCCGGCAGUCGGCUGCUUGCAGGAGACGGUGCUCGGCCACGGCUUCCUCUUGCGGCUCUCGGCUUGCCAGAAGUCUCUGUGGGGAGAUGAACCGUUUUGUGCGGCCACCAAGAAAGCCCUCCUACCCCACAAGAAGUGGUUUUGCAAGCCUUGCUUCUAGAAGGUAAUUAAUCACUCGCAGCAUGUGAAGCAAGCAAAAAGUCCCGUUGAGACACGAUUAACUUCAAAUCGAUGGAAUUGCUCAUGCUGUUAGCACAGUCCUCGGCGUAAUUUUGCCGUGGGUCAACUUGCACACCUCCAAAUAACUCACCCAGGCAUGGGUGAGGAGUUGGCAUGGGCUGUGGACAAUUUCCCGGAGGCAGCAGGGAUAAAGCAACGCUCCUCCUGGAGCUCAGAGACUCGAGUAGUGGGGAUGUGGCCAGCUUUGUCAGUGGUCCUCAAGGUGUUAGUGCUGUUGAAUUCACUAAUGUUGUUGUUGCUGUUGAGGUCAAAAUUGGGAAUAAUAAGUGAAACUCUCCCAAAUCCAGCUGGCUUUUGUUAAGGCUAGGAUUUUAUGCAAAUGUUCUCCGCAUGUGUACCAAUACGGCAGGCGCUCAGGUGCUGCACGAGAACAAGCCGUUGAAGGCAAUAAUUUUAGAAGAUGUAGCCUCCAUUUUAGAUGGACGCCAUGUCCCACAGAAGAGGCUCCUCACUUCCAAUGGCCAACCUAACAGUGCCGACAAGCUCUGAGGUCCUGUGGGAUGAAACACCCCAGAAACAGGGAGGGAAGUCUGAUUUCCCAACUGGAUGGCCCUGACGAGAUGUGGCUUUGAUUAGUGCCUGCGCCUCGAGUCUGGGAGGGCUUUCAGCUCUUCUGCUGGUCUCAGCUGUCAACGCUCGAUUUGGGAAGGAGGGUGAUGAGCAAUAAUGGGUCGGUUGACUUGCGUAACUCGGCGCAAUUGCAGGCAUCAGGAAGACGAGCUCCUGUGUAUCAGGACACCCAAACGGCUGCACCCGAACUCACAGAGGAUGCUUUCUAGGAAAUUUCCUACUUUUCUUUAACAGCACGGUCGAUAAAAAUCUACUUAAUUUUCUCCGCUCCUCCCCACAUCUCCUCUUCAAAUGUCUUGAUCCCAUGAGCUGAGGAUUUUAACAGCAUCAUGUUCCAAGGACUGCAAGAAUUAGUGACUCUAAGAUUGACACCUUGAUUCUCCCAGUCUGGAGUUGCUCAGAUCACCGUAUGUGUCGGUCCUUUGUAACAGCAACAACAUGUAGGAAAACCUGGUAAAAACCCUCCAGUUUAUUUGGUUAGUUUGGUAUCGGUGGCUUGGCUCUGAUUUGCCUCCUGUCAAAACAAAAUGAAUGAUAUUAAUAGAUUCAAAAUGUCAGUUAAGCAGUUUAUCCUGAGCUUGUGUAUUCAGAAAUGAAUAAUCGCUUGAGGUCGAGGGACAGAGGCCAAAGCGAAAUGCCGGGCAGAGCAGUGGGUGGGUAAGCCCAAGCCAAACUUAUUCAACUGCUCAGCAUUGUUGGACUCAAACUAACAUUUAAUAUUAUUUGAAAUUAAAGCUGUGAGUAAUGGUCA